RNAcentral lists this ribosomal RNA (252 nucleotides) under uncultured prokaryote. RNAcentral describes it as "partial 16S ribosomal RNA". It matches the Rfam family "Bacterial small subunit ribosomal RNA", at positions 524 to 776 of the family's 1533-position model. The record is from RNAcentral.
UACGUAGGGGGCGAGCGUUGUCCGGAAUUAUUGGGCGUAAAGGGCUCGCAGGCGGUCUGAUAAGUCAGAUGUGAAAGGCGUAGGCUCAACCUAGGUAAGCAUUUGAAACUGUCAGACUUGAGUUAAGGAGAGGAAAGUGGAAUUCCUAGUGUAGCGGUGAAAUGCGUAGAUAUUAGGAGGAAUACCAGUGGCGAAGGCGGCUUUCUGGACUUAUACUGACGCUGAGGAACGAAAGCGUGGGGAGCAAACAGG